This 1171-nucleotide long non-coding RNA is filed under the name Mus spicilegus (steppe mouse). Its description in RNAcentral is "lncRNA (ENSMSIG00000014962.1)". The record is from RNAcentral. Lineage: Eukaryota; Metazoa; Chordata; Mammalia; Rodentia; Muridae.
CCGCCCCGAACCCUGCCAUUCCGCCGGCUUUUCCACAGUGCCAAGUACUACGCGUGCGCACACCCGAACUAGCCGUCCCAGGAGGCCCCGCGUGGUUUCCAUGGCGACGCCCGCGCUUCCUUAAGUCCAGGGUGGAGGCAGCUGCGGGAGCAGCGCGGAGCAGGGUUUUAUGAAAUAUAGUCUUUGUUUAAAAAAGAGACUAGAACAUGUCAAAAAGUCUUACCUUGGAAACUUCAUGAGUCCCACAGUGAAGAGUGCUCUGCAUGCAACAUACAGUUCAUCUCCAGACACCUUAGGGAAUGAAUUUGAGAAAGAGCAACAGACAGCCACGUGCAGCUCCAGGUCUGUCUUCUUGAAUACAAUCUGUUAUACGUUGCUCCAGCACUUCCUGCAGUUACCUGGCUUGCCAGGCCCUCUGUGAGAGAAGCAUGAAAAGUACUUUUCAACCAAGCUCACCAGAAUGCCAGCACUAGGAGAGAGACACGAGGCGAUCAUCAGAGUGAAGGGUCAUCAUCAGCUACAUACCUGAAGGCCAGCCUGUGCAACACAGGACUUAGUCUUAAAACUCACUGUUCAAGCCUGAAUUUGGUUCCCAGAACCCACUGUGGAAGGACAGAACUGACUCCUAAACAUAGUCUUCUGAGCCCCCACCCCAAACACACACAAAAAGAUUGUGCACACGAAACUUUCUUUAAAAGUAAAAAAUGUUAGAAGAUAAACUCUGUUGAAUGAAUUCUUUGUGUAACAGUAUUAGUUGGAAAGACUUGUUUCCCUUCACAGAACUGCGGGGCUCGAGAAUGCUAGCUAAGCAUGUGCUCACGCGCUCAAGGCCACUGAGCUGCGUCCCAAGCGCAGAGCCUCUUUAAAGAGUGCUGUAAAGUAGGGGAACUUUUUCUUCUCUGAGAAGGAGGAGGACAGGCAGGCAGAUAGACAGACAGACACUCUGUACCCGGGCCAGUCUAGAUAUCACUAUGAAACCCCUAUUAGCCUUAAGCUCAGAGCAGUCUUCCUGCCUCGGCUUCCUUCGGGGAAGAGGCAGUUGCAAGCACAGGACACCAUGCCGGGUCAGAGAGCAGCUUCAGUUGAAGGGAUCAGCAGGGACAACUGGCCAAACUCGAGGCCGGGGGGCUGGGGGUGAGCAGCCACCAUUGAGGCAAGAAGUUAGGGGCUG